UAACCUGCCUUGGAUGGGGAAUAACAGCUGGAAACAGCUGCUAAUACCGCAUAAUAUGUCUGUGUCGCAUGGCACUGGACAUCAAAGAUUUAUCGCUCUGAGAUGGACUCGCGUCUGAUUAGCUAGUUGGCGGGGUAACGGCCCACCAAGGCGACGAUCAGUAGCCGGACUGAGAGGUUGGCCGGCCACAUUGGGACUGAGACACGGCCCAGACUCCUACGGGAGGCAGCAG
RNAcentral lists this ribosomal RNA (232 nucleotides) under uncultured bacterium. Its description in RNAcentral is "partial 16S ribosomal RNA". It matches the Rfam family "Bacterial small subunit ribosomal RNA", at positions 122 to 354 of the family's 1533-position model. The record is from RNAcentral.